This 398-nucleotide long non-coding RNA is filed under the name Brassica napus (rape). RNAcentral describes it as "long non-coding RNA (BNAP_LNC018199)". Lineage: Eukaryota; Viridiplantae; Streptophyta; Magnoliopsida; Brassicales; Brassicaceae. The record is from RNAcentral.
UCGUAAAUUUUAAGUAGGUAACGACUAAUCAGCUUCGUUAUAUUUUAGACUAGUUGUAACGGAGCCGUAAUUUUUGACUACUUAGCUUCGAUACCUUUUAUAUUAGUCGUAAAUUAGUAGUAGUUAAUGACUAUUUAGCUUCGUUAUCUUUUAGACUAGUCGUAAGAGAGUCGUAAUUUACGACUAAUUAGCUUUGAUUUUUGUUUUAACCCUAAAACCGAAACCCCAAUCCCCAAAUCACAAACAUCAUAAGCUAUAAUACACUUCCAAACCCCAAACUACAAACCUCAAACAUCCUAAUUGAACAAACAUGAUCGGAUAAGUUAUAUAAAUAUUAUAUGUAAUACAAAGUGUUUAAUAAUACAAUAGAAACUCGACCACUCAUCAUCAGAAACAUC